This 109-nucleotide transfer RNA is filed under the name Collybia nuda. RNAcentral describes it as "Lepista nuda tRNA". It matches the Rfam family "tRNA". From Rfam's summary of the family: Transfer RNA (tRNA) molecules are approximately 80 nucleotides in length. Their secondary structure includes four short double-helical elements and three loops (D, anti-codon, and T loops). The record is from Rfam by way of RNAcentral. Lineage: Eukaryota; Fungi; Basidiomycota; Agaricomycetes; Agaricales; Clitocybaceae.
GGCAAGAUGGCCGAGCGGUUAAGGCGUGUGACUCAAGCGUAGCUUCUUGCCUGCAUUCGCGGGUUCUCAUCACCGUAUGGUGGCGUGGGUUCAAGUCCCACUCUUGUCA